Molecule: signal recognition particle RNA, 311 nt
Filed under: Methanomassiliicoccus sp.
Lineage: Archaea; Methanobacteriati; Thermoplasmatota; Thermoplasmata; Methanomassiliicoccales; Methanomassiliicoccaceae
Description: signal recognition particle sRNA
Rfam family: Archaeal signal recognition particle RNA
Source: RNAcentral
CGCUAGGCUCGACCGGGACGUUCGGCACGCCCUUUUACACCGCAGACGUCGAUAGCGGGGGUGACAACGGGGGACGCCGUAACCGGAAAGGCGCGGGCCCUGCCAACGACUAUGAGGCCUCGUCCUAUGGGGUUGGAGGCGGUUAGGAGGCGCGAUCGGAGGGUCGCGCGCCUUUCCCUGGUCACGGAGAACGGGUCAGGCCCUGACGGGAGCAGCCUUACCGUGGACUACUAACGCUCAAAGGGGAGCGGGGCUGAGAAGCUGGUAGGACAACUCGUGUUGAUCCGAGCGGCUACCUUCGUGGCCUAGCA